RNAcentral lists this small nuclear RNA (288 nucleotides) under Octodon degus (degu). RNAcentral describes it as "7SK RNA (ENSODEG00000023630.1)". It matches the Rfam family "7SK RNA". From Rfam's summary of the family: 7SK was discovered as an abundant small nuclear RNA in the mid-70s but a possible function has only recently been suggested. Two independent studies have found that 7SK RNA binds the CDK9/cyclin T complex (known as elongation factor P-TEFb). Lineage: Eukaryota; Metazoa; Chordata; Mammalia; Rodentia; Octodontidae. The record is from Rfam by way of RNAcentral.
GGAUGUGAGGGCGAUCUGGCUGUGCCUUGUCACCCGUUAAUUGCCAGGGUUGAUUGGGCUGAGCUGGCUGCCUAGGGGGUUCCCUUUCCUCCUCAGUGCUCCAUUGGCAUCCCUCCUGAAGCUGCGCGCUGGGUGGAAGAAGAACACCACUCCUAGUAAAGCAGGAGCCUUCCUCCAUCAAGGGUGUGUAAGUAACUGCGCUCCCCUGACAGAACCUUGGAAUGAGCUAUCGAGUUUGUAUUCAAUUAACUGACCCAGUAGUGAAAAGCACUGUUGUUGCUGUUGUUC